GAAGUGAAUAGGCGAUGAUACUAUAGGGGGGUUAAUUAAUUUUUUCAAAGGUAAUUUUGAAAGAAUUAAAAGUUGGAGGAGUGAAUUAAGGAUUGAAUUGAUUAAAUUUGAAAUCAAGAACUAUUUUUUAAAUUAUGCAAAAAUCCAGGGGUCCAAUUGCAUUGAUCCAGGGGUGAAAUUAAAAAACAAAAGAGAGAAGAUUCUCAAAAGUAAGGACUGGAUUGCAAAACAUCAGAACGUCAGGGGGCAAAAUGAAGAAUAACAGUCCUAGCCUAAAAUGGCGUCGUUCCAAACACUAGGCAUUCUCCUAUUCCUCUGCAAGCAGGGGAAGUCCGUUCGGUGAUGCCUCCGAAAUGGCUUCGGCUAGAACAAUUACCCUCAUCAAUCCCAUCAAACCCAGACCAAUUCUACCACAGAACCCAUAGGAUUUGGUUCGGUAUCCCUCGCCCUCGCGACUCUCCCCUGACAUGAAGAUAAGCAUCACCAACAGUCCAACAAUGGUAGUACUGUUGAUUUUUUGUACCCAUCAAACACGGAGCAAACCCGAGCUAUGUUUAUCUUCAUCCAUGAGAUCGUCAUCCUGGGAGAUAAGGGAUGAAGUUCGUGGAUGAAAUCCAGCCCUAUAAAAGCAGAGGCAGAGAGCAGACCGGGAGGUCAUCGCCGAGGCGCCACCCGAUCAAACAGACGCAGCAUCACCAUCAGCUUCGCCUCCAACAGCAACACACCGGGCAAGUCUUCUUCCCUGCUUUUGGCAAAUUUAAUUACCGUGUUACUGUGGCAAGCAUGAAUAAUUGGUUAAUGACAUUGACCAGCUUGGUCUCUAGGCUGGGAAACUGACAAAGAGGGGUCGGCUGGAUAAGUCCAGCUAGUAUGGAAGGGCUAGAUUCAAUUCAUAUAUAUAUAUAUAAAAAACCGUUGAGACUGAGGCUUUGCCGGCUUAACAUUUUGGUCAGGUUUUGUUUGUCAAACAUAUUUUUAUAUAAUUUUUUUUUUAUUUUAAUAUCUAACUAAAUAAACCUUUUAAGAUAUUAGAAAAUUAGGAAAAAAUUUGGGGAACCUUUGGUAUUUAUUUGUGAGCCCCAUACAUGUUUUUUUUUAUGAUUUUACUUAUAUUAGAUUGUAGACUUAUACUGUGAAAUGCGAAUCUGGUAUAAAAUAUUCAUUGAUAUCAAAGUUAGGAAUACCAUACUUUUUUACAUAAUAUUUACCGACGCUAGAGUUGGAAGUAUUUGUAGUUGAAUAUUCACUGACACUAAAGUCAGGAAUAUUAUAGGAAGACCUUCAUAAACAUAAUACAACGAAUCCUUAACAAUUUAAGACAAAAACAACAAUGCAACUUACCUCAGGUAGGAUGCUUGAAGAGUUAUAAUAUCUUUGUUUUUGUGUAAUCAAUCUUGUACCAUAGAAUCUCUAUUGACCAGUUAGGGUUUCUAGUGACUAUAACAUUAGGUGGUGAUUUUUUAAAUCAGACAUUUUUUCCCUCUAAAAAUAAAAUAUCAUAUAUUUGUUGUUUUUUCUAGAAAUUUUAUAGCUGGUCACAAUGAACGAAAAGCUUUUGCCUCAACUUAGAUUUAUUAUGUGGAUGUAUAAGAUUAAUGUUCCUUGUACUUACUUUUCUAGCGCCCUAAAAUGUGAUUUUUCUUGGCUUAAAAGAUGAUUCUUAUAGCAAGCAAAUAUAAAGAGAGUAUAUGACCUGUAAUAAGUCACCAACUUGGACAAACAAGAUGUUUGCAAUAGGCUUGAAAGGCAUCCACUCAUCACCUUGUAGAAUUUCAAGCCCAGGCACCUGAUCAUCUGCCGGUGAAUUGUGACUAAAGUGUGUUGGGAAAAAACCAGUAACAACCAUAAACCAGUUUUGCUACAUCAAUUCACAAGUUUCAAUUCUUUUCCCUCUUUCUUUGUGCAAUCAAAAUUAGAAUCAAACAUUCGACAAGAUAAUGCAAACAAUCACACAAAUCAACACCAAGAUUUUUACAUAGAAAACCUAAUAUGGGAAAAAACCACGAGACCGUAGUCCACCUAAAAACUUCCAUCAUCAACAAAUAAUAGGUUCAUAAUUGUUCUUUCUCAGAUUUAACUAAGGGCUACAACAUUCAUAUCAUCAAUAACAAUCUAUUCUUGGAAUGAAACAAGAUUAAAGAUAAAAGUGUUUGAGAAAAACUCACAACACUGACAAUCCUGUUUUUUAUUAAAAUGACCAGCUUUCACAAUACUAAUUUUCGAUUCAAUUGUUCAAAAUGAAGAAUAACCUAUCUAGAAGUAUCUAUUCAAAUCUCAGCCCUAUCCAACAGUUAACGAGCUGGAAAACAAAUAAUGAAAACAGACGGUUCAGCUGCCUCAACUUCUUUUAUUUCUCCCGUGCUCUCUAUUAUGUUUUCUCUUAAUUAAUUCACCACAGCCGCUACAAUAAACAUUAAGUUUUUAAUUCCAAGAGACAGCCACGCUGUCUCUUGACAAUUAAUGUGGUGAUAUUUUCAUUAAAUGGUGCAGGAUCACACACAACAAAGUGGUAUCAGUAUGAUCACGCAUUCCAAAGUAGGCCCAAGAUUUGACUUUUCACAAGGUGGAUAGUAGUUCAUAGACACUUUCUGUCCAUGUUUGUCCAAUAUUUGGUCUGUAGACUCCCUUUCCAUGUCCAAGCCCUCAAAUAUAGCCUCAAGUAGUGUUAUUUCUGCCCUUCUAGCAGCUUCACUGUACUCAGAGCUACAAGCUCUCUGCAAACAAUGAAAGGCUAUAACUUAAUAAUGAUUUCUAUACUAGAAAAAAAAACAAUUAAAUUAGUCCAUCUAGAUCAAAAAACUCGAAAUCCUUUAAGUAUCACCUGAAAGAUGAAGGAUUUGUUGGCCAUAGAUCCACAUAUUCUUCCGGCGGAUGACAAUGAAAUACCAAGUAUUCCUUCGAGACGAAGACAUUCUGAGUAUUGUCCUUAAAUCCGGUCGCCGACCAUAUGGGACUGGUAUGGUCAGGAGAGUAUAAUUUCAUCUGUUCUUCCUCUGGCAGAUUAUUAUUGGUCCAGGGUUCUUCACCUGUUGCAAGUUCAUAGUGAGUUAGUACUGAAGGUAUUAUAGAUGUUGAAAGAAAAAUGUUAAUAAAUAAAUGGACUUUAGAUAUUUUUAAGUUAUCUCAGUUUAAUAGAUUUAGUUUUUAUUUUUUGACUUUAAACUUCAACAUUGAAUUCAUUGAAAAUAGACUUUUAUAAUUUUUUUAUUUGCUUUUUGUGUCUCAUAAUCUAAGCUGCGGGUUAACAGAUUAACUGAGUUAACCUGGUUUUUUUGGGUUUUUUUAUAUAUAUUUUUAAUUUCAUCAUUCAACAUUGUGUUGGUUGGAAAUUAGACUUCAUAAUAUUUUCUCUAUUUGCUUGUUAUUCGCGAGUUUGACAUAUUAACUCAUGUUGAAUCAGGUAGUUUUUUUUGUCUUUUUUAAUUUAUUUUUUUUCAAAUUUUUCCUUCAACAUUGGGUUAAUUAGAAAUUGACAUUCAUAAUUUAUUUUGAUAUGUUUUAGAUAGAGUUGUCAUAGUUUCAUGACCUGAGUCAACAUGUUAAUUAACCCAAGUCGAUUUAAUAUGAUAUCAUUUCAAUAUUUGAAACAAAAUAUCAUCCAAUAUAUCUACUAAACAUUAAACAAAAUUGUUCGGGCAUUCGACUAGUAAAUAUUAAGUAAAAAAGGUGGAAUUGAAAAGAGAGGGACCAAAAUGAAAAAAAACGUUAAACAUGGGUGGCGUGCCAUAAAGGUUUUUUUAAAAAUACAUUUAGGUCACCAAAAGUGUUGGUGUUGUGAUGUCGCGGUCGCACAAAUUAAUUACCCUAACUUCAAACACAACACACAAGAUAAUAUAGAGCAAGCAAGGGGUCGAUCCCAGGAGAAAGUUCAAGUCAGAUUUUUAUGCUAGAUGAUAUGCAAUUUGGGGGGGUUUGGACGUUGUCUAGGCUAAAGCAAAAGAUAACAGAAAAUGAUCAAAUAAAAUUUAAUAAAAUCAGAAAAUUAUCAAGAGAACAAACCUUGGUCACAAGCACACAUCCAUCUACAGAAAUCAGAACUGAUCAUGGAAACGAAACAUCAAUUUAUAUUCUGAAUAUUUAUCUCUUCUUAACAUUGGUUAGUUAACGGAUCCGCCGUAUAACUAACCCUAACCAUCAAACAACCACAGUGUCCGCACUAGUAAUUUAAUUUAAUGGCAGCCUUAAGAACUAGAUAAGUUGAUUAAUCAAGAAAACAUAACUGUCUGCAGUCUAUGUUUGAUUUGAUUGAAUGUUCUCCCUAAGAUUAAUAACGUAGAUCCGCCACAAUUAUUAAACUCAGUUGUUUCACAAGUUCAUAUACCACAACUCCGGUUUUGAUAUCAAACUUAGCAAUAGAUUGUCUACAAUAAUAACUUAGAGUCCGCUCUAGCAAUUAAAAUAAACAAUCAUAGGAAAAAUAAGCAUAGGAGAACAAACAUAUUCAUCAUAUAAACUGAAAAGAAAAGGUAAAAUAAAUCUCACAGUUCUUGAAAUCCAAAGGUUUCCGUGUCCUUGCAACCAAGAAAAAGUGUUUAGCCUUGCAUGUUUGUUGAACAACUAAUAAAAAAAAGGAAGAAUGCAUAAUUUAGGGUUUCUUAGAGGAAGGGAGCGUUUUUCUCUUCUUGGCUGGCUGGCCCCCUUCUCUUCUCUCAUUCUUUUUAUAUCUUAGGAAAUCCUAGGUCUCUAUUUUACAAAAUAGUCCUCCAUUAAGUAGACUGUUUACAUUUAAGUACUUCAAUAACUAUUUUCCUAAAAAAGGAGAAAUAGCCUUGCAUGAAAUCUUCAAGCUUUGACUUAGAGGAGCUAAAUUGCUGAAAUAAAAACUUGGAUAUUAUCUCCAAUUUACUCCUUUUUGCAUCUUUCAUCCAAAAGUGCCUUCAAAACAUAAAACAAAGAGUAUCAAGACAUUUUAUAUAUAAAACAUAGGCAAAACACUAGUUAAAUGUGGGUGAAACUAUUGAAUAAUAUGGUUGCAUCAGUUGAUGAGGUGUUUUGGAGUUAAAAUGACUUAAAAUUAAGUCUUGUUUUUGAAUAAAAGGGGCACUGCCCUGAUUUUUUGGCCACCAUGGGGUGGCCGGAAUGAUCUGGUCUUAUAGACGACACAUCAUUUGCCACAUUGCUUGUAUAUUUUGCCAUCCACCCCUUCAAUAUAUAUAUAUAUAUAAAACCAAGCCCAGGCAUGCGGGUAUAGGCUUGAAGGCCCACCAACGCUGUAAAAUCUUGAGAAUUAAAAAAAAUGAAUGUAUGAUGAAUGAUGAAGUGAAAUAAAAUGAAAUAAAAAUAAAUGAAUAUAAUAACAAAGAAAUCAAAUAAGAAAAAUACGAAAGACAUAAGGAGUGUGACUCCAAUUGUAAAGAAAAGAAAAGAAAAUGGCUCAAUGUGUAAUUAGGAAGAAUGGGGCUAUAAAUACCCAAUUUCUUCCUCUUUCAUGGCCGACUGAACACCAUAGAAAAGAGGGGAGAGAGUACAAAUUUUUCUUCAUCAAAAGAGAGGGAAAAAUACCAAAUGUCCUAGGACUAUACAAACCUAAGACCCUUAAGUAGAGAGGACACCCAUUAAGAAGGAUUUUAACAAGGAAAACAAGUGAAGAAAUUGGAGAAAAAGAGGGGAGAGGGUUGGCUGCAUACCAGAGAGGAGAGGCCAAAAAUCUUCAACUAAAUUAACUGAAAUUCUGAAAUUUUGCAAGGUAUGGACACUAGACUUAAUUUGAAAAAUAAUUUAACAAUUAAUUAGGAUAUGCACCAAUUUCAGAUUUUAUAAAUUAGGUUUCUUGAGUGAAAAUUAGGGGAAGUGUAAAAAUUGUUAGAAUGAAGUUAGUUGAGCUAACAUAAGAUGUUCUGAACAUGAAAAACAUGCAAAAUUGUUAAAGAAAAAUCAUUAACUUAAAGGCUUGAGUGGCCGACCAUGCGAGAAUUGAAUGGCGGAAGAAGGGAAUUCUAAAAUUUAUGUUGAUGAACACUUAUAGUAUGUGUAUGAUGUGAACAAUGAGUGAAUGAGGCAAGAAAAAUUGACUAAAAAGAAAAGGGAAACCUUGGUUCCCUUAGGCCAAGUUUGGCCAAGAGUCAAUUGAGGGGAGUGAAGAAGAAUUAUGGUAUAUUGUGUGUUCUUAAUGCAUAAAUUAAUUGUAGUAGAAAGCUCACUAAUAGGGAAAAACAUGAAAAAAUUGAUAAUAGAAGACUUCAUGAGUUUAAUGUGUGUUACGUGAAGCAAAGACAAAAUUGUUAACCAUGGGUAUAGCUCAUGAUUUCAGCAUUAGAGGAAUCACAAAAUGUAGGAAAAUGUAGAAAAUAAGUGUGGUAGAAGAAAAGGAGAAGUAAAGAUGACGGAAAAUUUAUUUAGGAAUUUUUGACGAAAUCUGGGCAGAUUCAUCACCCCUGUUCUAGGGGAGCUUCGAGCCUUAGAACAAAAAACUUUGGGAAACGUCUCUUCAUAGAAAUUGUAGUCAGGGAUGUUAUCUUUCCAACGAAUCUAACCUCACUUGAUUUGAAGCUUUAGAGCUUUAGAUAUAGAUAAAUGUAUGAGAAAAGGUCGAGCUGUCGUCUUUGCUAGUAGUUUCGGUGAAAUUGAUAAAAUGGGAAAGUUUAGCCUCGAUAAAGGCAGAACCUGAUUUCCUUCCCACCAGGAAUUUUGCAACGUUGUACCUUGACAUCAAAAGGGAAUAAACCACAUUUGAUAAUGAAUUUAAUAAUAUGUGUAAUGAUUUAAGAUAAUGAAACGCGAAGAGUAAAUGUUGUUAUUGUUAUUGUCUUGCUAUUUGUGAAAUGUAAAUUGAACAUGAACUAAUGUGGUGUACUUGUGGAUUCAAGAGGAACCAUGGGAGGCGUACAACAACAUCAAGGGAGCGCAAAUCGAGCUUCGGUGACAG
RNAcentral lists this long non-coding RNA (6865 nucleotides) under Populus trichocarpa (black cottonwood). RNAcentral describes it as "long non-coding RNA (PTRI_LNC000500)". Lineage: Eukaryota; Viridiplantae; Streptophyta; Magnoliopsida; Malpighiales; Salicaceae. The record is from RNAcentral.